GCUGUUGUCACCUGUCACAAAUAACAACAAUAACAAUAAAUAAAUGUAAACAAAAAAAUAAAAACAUUAUUAAUAAAAUAUAAACAAUGCGAAAAAAUAAAUAAAUAAUUAUGUUGUAUUUUAUUGUCUUACUGUGCUUAGUGUGGCCCAAGAAAAUGUAACAAAAACAUUAACCUAAAACAAAAAUAGAGUCUUGAAGAAGUUACUAAAUUUCAAAUAAUAAAUACAACAAUAAGGUCAAAGUUGAAGCAGGUUGAAGUUGUUGCUGUACCACAUUUUUAUCUACAGCUGUAACCAAAUGUUGUUAUAUUUAUUGUUGUGUAAUAAUUCAUUUAUGACAUUCAAUUAAAAGCUUUCAUAAAACCAAAAGCAUCAUUAUUCGUUAUGGCAUAUGUGGGUUCCAAAUCAACUGGUCAAAGAUCAACAUUAUUGUUUUAAUCAUAUGAAAGCUGUAUGCUGUAAUAAAUUGAUAAUUUAAUGAUUUUCUUUAUCAAUGUUUAUUAAUACCAGCUAAUUGUUUCUGUUUGGUGCUGUUGAAUGACUUUAAAAAUAAAAAUUAAAUAUUGUUAUUAAAAAAACUUGAUAAAAUGGAUUCAACUCAUCAAACUUUGGUGACUGAACCAUGAAGUAGGUAGACCUCCAUGGUCUGAACAAAAUUCAAGUCAAGAUAGUACACUUGAUAGCAAUAAACAAAUGUUAACAAAAAUA
Molecule: long non-coding RNA, 708 nt
Organism: Aphidius gifuensis
Lineage: Eukaryota; Metazoa; Arthropoda; Insecta; Hymenoptera; Braconidae
Exons: 3
Source: RefSeq, a predicted model, not a curated record